UGAAGUAAGUAAGGGCGUACGGUGAAUGCCUUGGUGCCAACAGGCGAAGAAGGACGCGGCAAGCUGCGAAAAGCCUCGGGAAGCUGCAAGCAAGCGAUGAUCCGGGGAUAUCCGAAUGGGGUAACCUGAUCGAGGCAAUACUCGAUCGUUCAUACCUGAAUACAUAGGGUAUGAAACGCGAAACCCGCUGAAGUGAAACAUCUCAGUAAGCGGAGGAAAAGAAAGAGAAAUCGAUUCCGUAAGUAGUGGCGAGCGAAAGCGGAUGGAGCCCAAACCGAAGGUAUUCCUUCGGGGUUGUAGGACCACGUCAUAUUCGACCAUACUGGAUAGUAGAACAGCCUGGAAAGGCUGGCCGGAGAAGGUGAAAGCCCUGUAGACGAAAUCCAGAGUGGGAAUUAGUGGUAUCCUGAGUAAUACAUCACACGUGGAACGAUGUAUGAACCCGCGCGGACCACCGCGCAAGGCUAAAUACUAGUUGGCGACCGAUAGUGAACAAGUACCGCGAGGGAAAGGUGAAAAGAACCGCUGUGAGCGGAGUGAAAUAGAACCUGAAACCGUAUGUCUACAAAGUGUCAGAGCAGAGCAAUCUGCGAUGGCGUGCCUUUUGUUUAAUGAGUCUGCGAGUCAGUGUUUGUGGCAAGACUAAGGGCUUCCGGCCCGGAGUCGCAGCGAAAGCAAGUCCGAACAGGGCGCAAUAAGUCGCAGGUACUGGACCCGAAGCGGAGGUGACCUACCCUUGGCCAGGUUGAAGCAUGGGUAAAACCAUGUGGAGGACCGAACAGGUGAACGUUGAAAAGUUCUCUGAUGAGCUGAGGGUAGGAGUGAAAGGCUAAUCAAACCCCGUGAUAGCUGGUUCUCUUCGAAAUGCAUUUAGGUGCAGCGUCACGUGCUGAUGCGCGGGGGUAGAGCACUGACAAGGCUAGGGGGCACACCCGCUUACCAAACCUUAUCAAACUCCGAAUACCGUGCAAUGGAACGUGGCAGUGAGACAGUGGGGGAUAAGCUUCAUUGUCGAGAGGGAAACAACCCAGACCAGCAGCUAAGGUGCCUAAAUAACGCUCAGUGGAAAGGAUGUGGGAUUACACAGACAGUGAGGAUGUUGGCUUAGAAGCAGCCACCAUUUAAAAAAUGCGUAAUAGCUUACUCAUCGAGUGAUCCUGCGCCGAAAAUGAUUGGCGAUCAAGCGUUAUACCGAAGCUCUGGACUUUGCCGCAAGGCAGAGUGGUAGAAGAGCGUUGCAUGCGCGUCGAAGGGCGAUGGCGACUGACCCUGGAGCACAUGCAAGUGAGUAUGCAGACAUGAGUAACGUUAAGCCGGGUGAAAUCCCCGGCCGCCGUAAACCCGAGGUUUCCAGGGCAACGUGUUUCGUCCCUGGGUUAGCCGGGACCUAAGCCGAGGCCGAGAGGCGUAGGCGAUGGACAUCAGGUUAAUAAUCCUGAGCUCGCAACCCUUAAACUGGGGGGACGCAUGAGAAAAGAUGACUAGGUUAUUGAAUUCCGAGUUGAGUCUACGGACUCAGCGCAUCAUUGGAUCGAGUGCCAAGAAAAGCCCCAGCGUAUGCUAAGCGACCCGUACCGCAAACCGACACAGGUGGGUGGGUAGAACAUACCAAGGCGUAAGAGUGAAACCUGGUUAAGGAACUCGGCAAAUUAGCCCCGUAACUUCGGAAGAAGGGGUGCCUGCAGCGAUGCAGGCCGCAGAGAAAUGGCCCAACCGACUGUUUAUCAAAAACACAGCACUCUGCAAAGACGCAAGUCGAAGUAUAGGGUGUGACACGUGACCAAUGCCGAAAGAUUAAGGCAAGGGGUUAGCCGCAAGGCGAAGCUCUAAACCCAAGUCCCGGUGAAUGUCGGCCGUAACUAUAACGGUCCUAAGGUAGCGAAAUUCCUUGUCGGGUAAGUUCCGACCUGCACGAAUCGUGAAACGAGUUGGGCACUGUCUCAACCAGGCGCUCAGUGAAAUUGUAGUGGCGGUGAAGAUGCCGCCUACCCGCAGAAGGACGGAAAGACCCUAUAGACCUUAACUGUAAGCUGUCAUUGUUUCUUCGGUUUUAAUGCUCAGAGUAAGUGGGAGACGCUGAAGACGCCCUUUAGGGGGCGUCCGAGUCAUCAAUGAGACACCACCCUUUGAAACUGGAGGAUCUAACCCUGAGCCGUGAAUCCGGCCAGAGGACCGUGUCAGCCGGUCAGUUUUACUGGGGCGGUAUCCUCCCAAAGAGUAACGGAGGAGCGCGAAGGUGGGCUCAGCCCGGUUGGCAACCGGGUGUCGAGUGCAUGGGCAUAAGCCCGCCUAACUGUGAGACCAACAAGUCGAGCAGAUGCGAAAGCAGGCCCAAGUGAUCCGGCGGUAGAAAGUGGAAUUGCCGUCGCUCAACGGAUAAAAGGUACCUUAGGGAUAACAGGCUGAUCACGCCCAAGAGUUCAUAUCGACGGCGUGGUUUGGCACCUCGAUGUCGGCUCGUCGCAUCCUGGGGCUGGAGAAGGUCCCAAGGGUCCGGCUGUUCGCCGGUUAAAGCGGCACGCGAGCUGGGUUCAGAACGUCGCGAGACAGUUCGGUCCUCUAUCCUCUGUGGGCGUUGGAAAAUUGAGGGGUUCAGACCUUAGUACGAGAGGACCGGGUCUGACGCACCACUGGUGCAUCGGUUGUACUGUCAAGUGCAUGGCCGAGUAGCUAAGUGCGGACGGGAUAAGCGCUGAAAGCAUCUAAGCGCCAAGCCCUUCCCAAGAUGAGUUUUCCCUACAGGUUCGUGGAAGACCACCACGUUGAUAGGUCGCAGGUGUAAGUGCAGCAAUGUAUUGAGCCGAGCGAUACUAAUUACCAAUUGACUUCAUCAU
Molecule: ribosomal RNA, 2834 nt
Filed under: human gut metagenome
Description: bacterial LSU rRNA
Rfam family: Bacterial large subunit ribosomal RNA
Source: RNAcentral